This 414-nucleotide ribosomal RNA is filed under the name uncultured bacterium. RNAcentral describes it as "bacterial SSU rRNA". It matches the Rfam family "Bacterial small subunit ribosomal RNA", at positions 355 to 787 of the family's 1533-position model. The record is from RNAcentral.
UGGGGAAUAUUGCACAAUGGGGAAGACCCUGAUGCAGCGACGCCGCGUGAAGGAUGAAGUAUUUCGGUAUGUAAACUUCUAUCAGCAGGGAAGAAAAUGACGGUACCUGACUAAGAAGCCCCGGCUAACUACGUGCCAGCAGCCGCGGUAAUACGUAGGGGGCAAGCGUUAUCCGGAUUUACUGGGUGUAAAGGGAGCGUAGACGGCUUAGCAAGUCUGAAGUGAAAGCCCGCGGCUCAACUGCGGGACUGCUUUGGAAACUGUGGAUCUAGAGUGCCGGAGAGGUAAGCGGAAUUCCUAGUGUAGCGGUGAAAUGCGUAGAUAUUAGGAGGAACACCAGUGGCGAAGGCGGCUUACUGGACUGCAAUGACGCUGAGGCACGAAAGCGUGGGUAUCGAACAGGAUUAGAUACCC